GGUUAUACGAAGGAUUUAAAUGAAAUAGAUUGGUGGAAUGAAGUAAAUAUUUGUUUUAAAUAAAUUUUUUAAAUAAAAAAUUAAGGGUAAAAUUUUUAUUUUUUUAAAUGAAAAGUUAUAACAGAAUGAAUUAUCUUUGAAAAUUAAGAUUUAAACUAGGAUUAGAUACCCUAUUAUUCUUUAUUUUAUUAAUUGCCAGGGUAGUAGAAUUUUUAAAACCUAAAGAAUUUGGCGGUACCUUACUCUUACUAGAGGAACCUGCUCUUGGAUCGAUAAUCCACGUUUUAAUGUACAUGUUUUUGUUUUCAGUUUGUAUACCGCCGUUGUCAGAUUAUUUUUAAAAAAUAUAAUCUAAUUAAUAGUUAAUUGGGACUUCAGGUCAAGGUGCAGCUUAUAAACAUGGGAGUAGUGGGUUACAAUAAUAUAGAAUUAUACGGAUUAACUAGUGUAAUACAAAUUAUGAAGGUGGAUUUAGUAGUAAAUUAAGAAUAAAAUUCUUAUUUGAAAUGAGCUCUGAGGUGUGUACACAUCGCCCGUCGCUCUCUCCCUUAAGGAGAGAUAAGUCGUAAC
RNAcentral lists this ribosomal RNA (570 nucleotides) under Triops longicaudatus. RNAcentral's name for it is "partial 12S ribosomal RNA". Lineage: Eukaryota; Metazoa; Arthropoda; Branchiopoda; Notostraca; Triopsidae. The record is from RNAcentral.